UUUCCGUAAGUGAACCUGCGGAAGGAUCAUUAUUGUAUAACCGAGGUACGAGGGCUGUCGCUGACCCGAAAGGUCGUGCACGCCCGAGUGCCCUCACACACAUCCAUCUCACCCCUAUGUGCACCACCGCGUGGGUCCCCCUUUGGCUUGUUCGGAGGGGGGCUUACGUUUUCACACAAACUUUGUAUGCAGUGUAGAAUGUAUUUUUUGUUUUUGCGAUCACGCAAUCAAUACAACUUUCAACAACGGAUCUCUUGGCUCUC
Molecule: unclassified non-coding RNA, 263 nt
Filed under: plant metagenome
Description: partial contains small subunit ribosomal RNA, internal transcribed spacer 1, and 5.8S ribosomal RNA
Source: RNAcentral